RNAcentral lists this microRNA precursor (98 nucleotides) under Otolemur garnettii (small-eared galago). RNAcentral describes it as "mir-544 microRNA precursor family". It matches the Rfam family "mir-544 microRNA precursor family". Lineage: Eukaryota; Metazoa; Chordata; Mammalia; Primates; Galagidae. The record is from Rfam by way of RNAcentral.
AUCACCUGGGGAUCUUGUUAAAAUACAGAUUCCAACUGAGUAGGGCUGAGGUUGGGUCUGAGAUUCUGCAUUUUUAACAAGCUCCUGGGUGAUCCUGA